Molecule: ribosomal RNA, 253 nt
Filed under: uncultured bacterium
Lineage: Bacteria
Description: partial 16S ribosomal RNA
Rfam family: Bacterial small subunit ribosomal RNA
Source: RNAcentral
UACGUAGGGAGCAAGCGUUGUCCGGAAUCAUUGGGCGUAAAGCGUGCGUAGGUGGCCCCAUAAGUCCGCUGUGAAAGUCAAAGGCUCAACCUUUGAAAGCCGGUGGAUACUGUGGGACUAGAGUACGGAAGAGGCGAGUGGAAUUCCUGGUGUAGCGGUGGAAUGCGCAGAUAUCAGGAGGAACACCAAUAGCGAAGGCAGCUCGCUGGGACGUUACUGACACUGAGGCGCGAAAGCGUGGGGAGCGAACAGG